This 772-nucleotide ribosomal RNA is filed under the name uncultured bacterium. RNAcentral describes it as "bacterial SSU rRNA". It matches the Rfam family "Bacterial small subunit ribosomal RNA", at positions 8 to 796 of the family's 1533-position model. The record is from RNAcentral.
AGAGUUUGAUCAUGGCUCAGGACGAACGCUGGCGGCGUGCUUAACACAUGCAAGUCGAACGGUGAUGCCCCUUCGGGGGUGGAUCAGUGGCGAACGGGUGAGUAACACGUGAGCAACCUGCCCUUGGCUCUGGGAUAACUCCGGGAAACCGGGGCUAAUACUGGAUAUGACAUGUCCGGGCAUCCGGGUGUGUGGAAAGUUUUUCGGCUGGGGAUGGGCUCGCGGCCUAUCAGCUUGUUGGUGGGGUAGUGGCCUACCAAGGCGAUGACGGGUAGCCGGCCUGAGAGGGCGACCGGCCACACUGGGACUGAGACACGGCCCAGACUCCUACGGGAGGCAGCAGUGGGGAAUAUUGCGCAAUGGGCGAAAGCCUGACGCAGCGACGCCGCGUGGGGGAUGAAGGCCUUCGGGUUGUAAACCUCUUUCAGCAGGGAAGAAGCGUGAGUGACGGUACCUGCAGAAGAAGCACCGGCUAACUACGUGCCAGCAGCCGCGGUAAUACGUAGGGUGCAAGCGUUGUCCGGAAUUAUUGGGCGUAAAGAGCUCGUAGGCGGUUUGUCGCGUCUGCUGUGAAAAUUCAGGGCUUAACCCUGGGCUUGCAGUGGGUACGGGCAGACUAGAGUGCGGUAGGGGAGACUGGAAUUCCUGGUGUAGCGGUGAAAUGCGCAGAUAUCAGGAGGAACACCGAUGGCGAAGGCAGGUCUCUGGGCCGUAACUGACGCUGAGGAGCGAAAGCGUGGGGAGCAAACAGGAUUAGAUACCCUAGUAGUCC